AGUGAACGCUGGCGGUAGGCCUAACACAUGCAAGUCGAACGGCAGCACAGUAAGAGCUUGCUCUUACGGGUGGCGAGUGGCGGACGGGUGAGGCAUACAUAGGAAUCUACUUUUUCGUGGGGGAUAACGUAGGGAAACUUACGCUAAUACCGCAUACGACCUACGGGUGAAAGCAGGGGAUCUUCGGACCUUGCGCGAUUGAAUGAGCCGAUGUCGGAUUAGCUAGUUGGCGGGGUAAAGGCCCACCAAGGCGACGAUCCGUAGCUGGUCUGAGAGGAUGAUCAGCCACACUGGAACUGAGACACGGUCCAGACUCCUACGGGAGGCAGCAGUGGGGAAUAUUGGACAAUGGGCGCAAGCCUGAUCCAGCCAUACCGCGUGGGUGAAGAAGGCCUUCGGGUUGUAAAGCCCUUUUGUUGGGAAAGAAAAUCAGCAGGUUAAUACCCCGCUGUUCUGACGGUACCCAAAGAAUAAGCACCGGCUAACUUCGUG
This 492-nucleotide ribosomal RNA is filed under the name uncultured bacterium. RNAcentral's name for it is "partial 16S ribosomal RNA". It matches the Rfam family "Bacterial small subunit ribosomal RNA", at positions 29 to 507 of the family's 1533-position model. The record is from RNAcentral.